UACGGAGGGUGCGAGCGUUGUCCGGAAUCACUGGGCGUAAAGGGCGCGUAGGUGGCGGUCCAAGUCAACGGUGAAAGCUCGGGGCUCAACCCCGAGUCGGCCGUCGAUAUUGGGCUGCUUGAGCACUGUAGAGGCAGAUGGAAUUCCGGGUGUAGCGGUGGAAUGCGUAGAGAUCCGGAAGAACACCGGUGGCGAAGGCGGUCUGCUGGGCAGUAGCUGACACUGAGGCGCGACAGCGUGGGGAGCAAACAGG
This 253-nucleotide ribosomal RNA is filed under the name uncultured bacterium. Its description in RNAcentral is "partial 16S ribosomal RNA". It matches the Rfam family "Bacterial small subunit ribosomal RNA", at positions 524 to 776 of the family's 1533-position model. The record is from RNAcentral.